GUGAAUCAUCAAAUCUUUGAACGCAAAUUGCGCCUUUUUCGGAAGGCAUGCCUGUUUGAGGGCACCAUUUAACAAAUAAUGUGCAGCGUUUUUUGUUGCACACGCGGUUGAGUUUUCCAAGAAUUUUAAUUUUUUGGUGGCGCAUAAUGAACAGGGUGAAAGUUUUUUCCAGUUGGAGUGUAGUAAAAUCUUUGUUUGGUUUUUGAAAAAAAUUAAUCGCGAAAUGGGGGAGGCAAUUUCUUUUUAUCCCUGCCCCAAU
RNAcentral lists this unclassified non-coding RNA (259 nucleotides) under Paraglomerales sp. RNAcentral's name for it is "partial contains 5.8S ribosomal RNA and internal transcribed spacer 2". The stretch from base 1 to 65 matches the Rfam family "5.8S ribosomal RNA", at positions 84 to 154 of the family's 154-position model. Lineage: Eukaryota; Fungi; Glomeromycota; Glomeromycetes; Paraglomerales. The record is from RNAcentral.